This 499-nucleotide ribosomal RNA is filed under the name Lacticaseibacillus casei. Its description in RNAcentral is "bacterial SSU rRNA". It matches the Rfam family "Bacterial small subunit ribosomal RNA", at positions 1 to 471 of the family's 1533-position model. Lineage: Bacteria; Bacillati; Bacillota; Bacilli; Lactobacillales; Lactobacillaceae. The record is from RNAcentral.
UUUAUAUGAGAGUUUGAUCCUGGCUCAGGAUGAACGCUGGCGGCGUGCCUAAUACAUGCAAGUCGAACGAGUUCUCGUUGAUGAUCGGUGCUUGCACCGAGAUUCAACAUGGAACGAGUGGCGGACGGGUGAGUAACACGUGGGUAACCUGCCCUUAAGUGGGGGAUAACAUUUGGAAACAGAUGCUAAUACCGCAUAGAUCCAAGAACCGCAUGGUUCUUGGCUGAAAGAUGGCGUAAGCUAUCGCUUUUGGAUGGACCCGCGGCGUAUUAGCUAGUUGGUGAGGUAAUGGCUCACCAAGGCGAUGAUACGUAGCCGAACUGAGAGGUUGAUCGGCCACAUUGGGACUGAGACACGGCCCAAACUCCUACGGGAGGCAGCAGUAGGGAAUCUUCCACAAUGGACGCAAGUCUGAUGGAGCAACGCCGCGUGAGUGAAGAAGGCUUUCGGGUCGUAAAACUCUGUUGUUGGAGAAGAAUGGUCGGCAGAGUAACUGUUG